RNAcentral lists this ribosomal RNA (1469 nucleotides) under Lactiplantibacillus plantarum. Its description in RNAcentral is "bacterial SSU rRNA". It matches the Rfam family "Bacterial small subunit ribosomal RNA". Lineage: Bacteria; Bacillati; Bacillota; Bacilli; Lactobacillales; Lactobacillaceae. The record is from RNAcentral.
UUUGAUCAUGGCUCAGGACGAACGCUGGCGGCGUGCCUAAUACAUGCAAGUCGAACGAACUCUGGUAUUGAUUGGUGCUUGCAUCAUGAUUUACAUUUGAGUGAGUGGCGAACUGGUGAGUAACACGUGGGAAACCUGCCCAGAAGCGGGGGAUAACACCUGGAAACAGAUGCUAAUACCGCAUAACAACUUGGACCGCAUGGUCCGAGCUUGAAAGAUGGCUUCGGCUAUCACUUUUGGAUGGUCCCGCGGCGUAUUAGCUAGAUGGUGGGGUAACGGCUCACCAUGGCAAUGAUACGUAGCCGACCUGAGAGGGUAAUCGGCCACAUUGGGACUGAGACACGGCCCAAACUCCUACGGGAGGCAGCAGUAGGGAAUCUUCCACAAUGGACGAAAGUCUGAUGGAGCAACGCCGCGUGAGUGAAGAAGGGUUUCGGCUCGUAAAACUCUGUUGUUAAAGAAGAACAUAUCUGAGAGUAACUGUUCAGGUAUUGACGGUAUUUAACCAGAAAGCCACGGCUAACUACGUGCCAGCAGCCGCGGUAAUACGUAGGUGGCAAGCGUUGUCCGGAUUUAUUGGGCGUAAAGCGAGCGCAGGCGGUUUUUUAAGUCUGAUGUGAAAGCCUUCGGCUCAACCGAAGAAGUGCAUCGGAAACUGGGAAACUUGAGUGCAGAAGAGGACAGUGGAACUCCAUGUGUAGCGGUGAAAUGCGUAGAUAUAUGGAAGAACACCAGUGGCGAAGGCGGCUGCCUGGUCUGUAACUGACGCUGAGGCUCGAAAGUAUGGGUAGCAAACAGGAUUAGAUACCCUGGUAGUCCAUACCGUAAACGAUGAAUGCUAAGUGUUGGAGGGUUUCCGCCCUUCAGUGCUGCAGCUAACGCAUUAAGCAUUCCGCCUGGGGAGUACGGCCGCAAGGCUGAAACUCAAAGGAAUUGACGGGGGCCCGCACAAGCGGUGGAGCAUGUGGUUUAAUUCGAAGCUACGCGAAGAACCUUACCAGGUCUUGACAUACUAUGCAAAUCUAAGAGAUUAGACGUUCCCUUCGGGGACAUGGAUACAGGUGGUGCAUGGUUGUCGUCAGCUCGUGUCGUGAGAUGUUGGGUUAAGUCCCGCAACGAGCGCAACCCUUAUUAUCAGUUGCCAGCAUUAAGUUGGGCACUCUGGUGAGACUGCCGGUGACAAACCGGAGGAAGGUGGGGAUGACGUCAAAUCAUCAUGCCCCUUAUGACCUGGGCUACACACGUGCUACAAUGGAUGGUACAACGAGUUGCGAACUCGCGAGAGUAAGCUAAUCUCUUAAAGCCAUUCUCAGUUCGGAUUGUAGGCUGCAACUCGCCUACAUGAAGUCGGAAUCGCUAGUAAUCGCGGAUCAGCAUGCCGCGGUGAAUACGUUCCCGGGCCUUGUACACACCGCCCGUCACACCAUGAGAGUUUGUAACACCCAAAGUCGGUGGGGUAACCUUUUAGG